RNAcentral lists this long non-coding RNA (310 nucleotides) under Manihot esculenta (cassava). Its description in RNAcentral is "long non-coding RNA (MESC_LNC008047)". The record is from RNAcentral. Lineage: Eukaryota; Viridiplantae; Streptophyta; Magnoliopsida; Malpighiales; Euphorbiaceae.
AGUGAAUUGCUGAAAGCGGGGCCCAUUGCGCUCGUGGCUGCAUGAGUGGCGGUGCGGACUUUGAUUCCACGUGAAGAAAGCUUGGUCAUGUGCAAGACGGGCCGGUCCAUGUGCUGAACUUGUGAAGGCGCGCGAGCUUGGUGAAGCGGUCCACGUUGAAGUGAUAAUGGGCUGUCAGCUUCGGCCACCAUGUGCGUGAGAAUGAAAUGCACUGGUCCAUUUACGAGAAUGGGUCCAUAUGCCCGAGAAUGAAGUGCGUGAAGUGCUUGAUCCAUUUGCGCGAUGGAUGUGCGGGAGUGGUGUGAGCUGU